This 459-nucleotide ribosomal RNA is filed under the name uncultured bacterium. RNAcentral's name for it is "bacterial SSU rRNA". It matches the Rfam family "Bacterial small subunit ribosomal RNA", at positions 29 to 531 of the family's 1533-position model. The record is from RNAcentral.
AACGAACGCUGGCGGCAGGCUUAACACAUGCAAGUCGAACGCCCCCGCAAGGGGAGUGGCAGACGGGUGAGUAACGCGUGGGAAUCUACCCAGUCCUUCGGAACAACACAGGGAAACUUGUGCUAAUACCGGAUACGCCCUACGGGGGAAAGAUUUAUCGGGAUUGGAUGAGCCCGCGUUGGAUUAGCUAGUUGGUGAGGUAAAAGCUCACCAAGGCGACGAUCCAUAGCUGGUCUGAGAGGAUGAUCAGCCACACUGGGACUGAGACACGGCCCAGACUCCUACGGGAGGCAGCAGUGGGGAAUAUUGGACAAUGGGCGCAAGCCUGAUCCAGCCAUGCCGCGUGAGUGAUGAAGGCCUUAGGGUUGUAAAGCUCUUUCAGUGGGGACGAUAAUGACGGUACCCACAGAAGAAGCCCCGGCUAACUUCGUGCCAGCAGCCGCGGUAAGGCUACGUAGA